UAGGGAAUCUUCCGCAAUGGGCGAAAGCUUGACGGAGCAACGCCGCGUGAGUGAUGAAGGUCUUCGGAUCGUAAAACUCUGUUAUUAGGGAAGAACAAAUGUGUAAGUAACUAUGCACGUCUUGACGGUACCUAAUCAGAAAGCCACGGCUAACUACGUGCCAGCAGCCGCGGUAAUACGUAGGUGGCAAGCGUUAUCCGGAAUUAUUGGGCGUAAAGCGCGCGUAGGCGGUUAGAUAAGUCUGAAGUUAAAGGCAGUGGCUCAACCAUUGUAGGCUUUGGAAACUGUUUAACUUGAGUGCAGAAGGGGAGAGUGGAAUUCCAUGUGUAGCGGUGAAAUGCGUAGAUAUAUGGAGGAACACCGGUGGCGAAAGCGGCUCUCUGGUCUGUAACUGACGCUGAGGCUCGAAAGCGUGGGUAGCAAACAGG
Molecule: ribosomal RNA, 428 nt
Filed under: Bacteroidota bacterium
Lineage: Bacteria; Pseudomonadati; Bacteroidota
Description: Bacteroidetes bacterium partial 16S ribosomal RNA
Rfam family: Bacterial small subunit ribosomal RNA
Source: RNAcentral